CUCUUAUCUAGAGUGGUCGAGGGACUGGCCCUAUGACACCCAGCAACCGGCAGCAAUGCAAAUGGUGCUAAAUCCAGCAGAAUUCACGUUCUGAAAGAUAAGAG
RNAcentral lists this non-coding RNA (104 nucleotides) under Pelosinus fermentans. RNAcentral describes it as "SAM-I sequence". It matches the Rfam family "SAM riboswitch aptamer (S box leader)". Rfam says of the family: The SAM riboswitch is found upstream of a number of genes which code for proteins involved in methionine or cysteine biosynthesis in Gram-positive bacteria. The SAM riboswitch acts at the level of transcription termination control. The record is from RNAcentral. Lineage: Bacteria; Bacillati; Bacillota; Negativicutes; Selenomonadales; Sporomusaceae.